This 464-nucleotide ribosomal RNA is filed under the name uncultured bacterium. RNAcentral's name for it is "partial 16S ribosomal RNA". It matches the Rfam family "Bacterial small subunit ribosomal RNA", at positions 28 to 507 of the family's 1533-position model. The record is from RNAcentral.
GACGAACGCUGGCGGCGUGCUUAACACAUGCAAGUCGAACGGAAAGGCCCAGCUUGCUGGGUGCUCGAGUGGCGAACGGGUGAGUAACACGUGGGUGAUCUGCCCCUAACUUCGGGAUAAGCUUGGGAAACUGGGUCUAAUACCGGAUAGGACAAUCGUUUAGUGUCGGUUGUGGAAAGUUUUUUCGGUUAGGGAUGAGCCCGCGGCCUAUCAGCUUGUUGGUGGGGUAAUGGCCUACCAAGGCGUCGACGGGUAGCCGGCCUGAGAGGGUGGACGGCCACAUUGGGACUGAGAUACGACCCAGACUCCUACGGGAGGCAGCAGUGGGGAAUAUUGCACAAUGGGCGCAAGCCUGAUGCAGCGACGCCGCGUGGGGGAUGACGGCCUUCGGGUUGUAAACCUCUUUCGACAGGGACGAAGCUUUGGUGACGGUACCUGUAUAAGAAGCACAGGCUAACUACGUG